GGUAGUACAACGAACAGCAGAAAUAAUAAAAAUUAUAUCCAGAUUCAUAGAGCAUCUAGCGACGACUACAAGCACUGAAGCGAGCAGAAGGCGCGCUGCCGUCAUCGCUUGUGGCGCCCUCGAUUCAGUCGUACACUAAUCAUACACGCAAAUGUGUAUGAUCAAGAUCAAGAACUCACGGGAAGAUAUCACAACACAACUCUAGACACAAAUAAAAUAAUACAAGCUUUAUAUUACAAGUCAUGGGCCUGGAGGGCUCGAAUACAUAAGCUCAAAUACACAAGAGUCAGCGGAAGCAACAAUAUAUGAGUACAGACAUAUGUUAGACAAGUCUGCCUUAAGAAGGCUAGCACAAAAGCAACAUCGAUCGAAAAGGCAAGUCCUCCUGCCUGGGAGCCUCCUAACUACUCCUGGUCGGCGACGACCUCCACGUAGUAGUAGGCACCCUCAGUGUAGUAGCAGUCGUCGUCGAAGGUGACUUCUGGAUCCUCGGCUCCACCAUCUGGUUGCAGCAUCCGGGAAGAAUGAAAAGACGUGGAAAAAGGGGAGCAAAGUAACCGUGAGUACUCAUCCAAAGUACUCGCAAGCAAGGAUCUACACUACAUAUGCACCAUUAUCAAAGAGGGGGUGUAUAUGUGGACUGGGCUGCAGAAAUGCCAGAAUAGAGAGAAGACCUAGUCAUAUCGAAGACUAGCAUCGUCAGUAUCUUCAAACAUCUUGCAGCAUUUACAGGAGUAAAAGAGUAGCAUAAAGUAAGGUAGUGGUAGUGUCAUCAACCUCGCCCAUAGAUCCUUUCUCGAAUCCAUGCGAGAAAUCAAUCCAGAGCCAUACUAUCCAGUUAUUACCUCAAGUAUCUAGUUCUAGUUGUAUCGAUCGGGAUACAACUCCAAGUGUCCGUUACCGUAGAACAGGCUAUCGAUAGAUGUUUUCUCCUCUCCAGGGGUGCACCAACUUACCCACCACGCUCGAUUAACUCCGGCCGGACACACUUUCCUGGGUCAUGCUCAGCCUCGGCCAAACAAUACGCCACAACCCGACCUAGGCUAAAUAGAGAGGUCAGCACGCCGGACUAAACCUAUGCCCCAGGGGUCAUGGGCCAUCGCCCCGGGAACUCCUGCACGUUUCAUGGGCGGCCGGUGAGCAGACCUAGCUACCUCCUUAAAAAGGCAGGAGCUUACCAGUCCAACCCGGCGCGCGCCGCUCAGUCGCUGACGUCUAAUAAGCUUCGGCUGAUGCAUACAAUGCAGAACGCCCAUACAAUGCCCACGUGAUGGUUAGUGCUAUCAGGCCAGAGGCCCUCGGGUCAAUUAUCCAAAUCGUAGUGGAUUAGGAGCACACGGUAACAAGCAGAGACUCACGAAAGAUGUGACCCCGUCGCCCCGUCUUGAGGACUUGCGACAAGGGCUAAGAAUGCCCGGCCAUGCCUCGUAGGUAUCUCGCGGGCACCUUCCAGGUCAACCCAACUCCACAUCACUCGCAAAUAAGCUCGCGCGGGUACCCGUCUUUAGUAACAUGGUUCGGUGUAAAGUCAUAGUAACCAUAGUAACUAUGUGUCUAACACCAAGGGGAACCCUGAGGAACCACCCUCGAUGGAUCCCACUUGAUGUAAUCAUCAAGGUGAACGUAAGAGGAACCACCCUCGAGGUUCACACUUGAGGGGUUGCACGACAGAGUCGUAUCGGAAGUGGUUAAGGAGGGAAUCACCCUCGAUGACCUCGACUGAAUAGCUACACUACAGAGAUCUCAUCAGGAGUGAAGUAUGAGGUUCCACCCUCGGCACUCGAUGGUAACUCUAAAGAGUCGAGCACCAAAAGGGGCGUGAUGUGAUGUGAGGUGCCAAGCUCUGGUCGUCGAUCACGUUGAUUGGGUCUUCGAUGAUGAAGCAGGGGCAACAAGGACAAGGUGGGGGUCACCGAUGGAUCACUAACCAACCUAUACUAAGUAGUCAUGUAAGGUAACAAUAAGCAAGUUACAAAAGCAGGCUAUGCAUCAGAAUAGGAGCAAACAAUAACAGUAGCAAAAUCUAAUGCAAGCAUGAGAGAAUGGAAUGGGUGAUAUCAGGAUGAUCAAAGGGGGUGGCUUGCCUGGAAGCUCUGCUGCAAAGGAAGAAGAGUCGUCGGUGAUGUAGUCGAUCACGGGGGCAUCAUCAGUCUUGGGGUCUACCGGAGAGAGGAGGGGGGAGAAACGGUAAAUAUAAAGUAAACAAAGGUACCACUAAGCAUGACAAGACGAUAAGAAGAACUAGGGUCGACCUAACGUAGUACUACACGUUGUAGACGAAGGGCAUAAACAUCCGAGGAUGAAUUCCCGGCGUUAGGCGGAUUCUGGACAGAGGAAAAGAGGGGGAAAGUUCCAUGUUCAGCAUGCUAGGGGCAUAUGACAGAUGAACGGACCGUGUAAUCGGAUUCGUUGGAUUUUUCUCAGCAACUUUCAUGUAGAGAACAUUUUCAUCCGAGCUACGGAUUAUUUUUUGUGAUUUAUCAAAGAUUUAAACAAUUUCUGAAUUUAUUAUUAAAUCUAAAACAGAGUUAUUGCACCAGCAUGACGUCAUCAUGACAUCAGCGGUCAACACAGACCGUUGAGUGGUCAAACAGGGCAGUGGGGCCCGUCUGUCAUUGACCUAACUAAUUAGCAGAUUUAAAUUAACUAAACUAGUUCAUUAGGCUAAUUAAGCAAGGUUAAUUAAGAUAAUUAAUUACCUAAUUAGUUAAUUAAUUAAUUGCUUCUAUAUUUAUUUAUUUUAAAAAGAAGAUUUUUUAACCAGGGGCCGUGCCCAGCUGUGAGUGGCCCAUAGGCCUUUAGCGGGUGCGGGCGUUAUCGGGUGCGGGCGCCCGCGCCCGCGCACGGAGAUGACAGAGGGCGGAGGCGGGGCCGUGGCCAUGGCACGACUAGGGGAGGGCCCCGGCCGCGGCGAGGAGACCGACCAGCGAGCGGACGGGAAAGAGCGAGUCGUGCCCGGAGCACAACGGCGACCAAGCGCGGCAGGGCGGCGACCGCACUGGUGAACGGAGGCGGGUGCGCGGCCAGGCGGUGGUCGGCGGCGUAGCAGCGGCGAGCGGUGUGAGCGGAGCGCGGCGGCGGCGGCANNNNNNNNNNNNNNNNNNNNNNNNNNNNNNNNNNNNNNNNNNNNNNNNNNNNNNNNNNNNNNNNNNNNNNNNNNNNNNNNNNNNNNNNNNNNNNNNNNNNNNNNNNNNNNNNNNNNNNNNNNNNNNNNNNNNNNNNNNNNNNNNNNNNNNNNNNNNNNNNNNNNNNNNNNNNNNNNNNNNNNNNNNNNNNNNNNNNNNNNNNNNNNNNNNNNNNNNNNNNNNNNNNNNNNNNNNNNNNNNNNNNNNNNNNNNNNNNNNNNNNNNNNNNNNNNNNNNNNNNNNNNNNNNNNNNNNNNNNNNNNNNNNNNNNNNNNNNNNNNNNNNNNNNNNNNNNNNNNNNNNNNNNNNNNNNNNNNNNNNNNNNNNNNNNNNNNNNNNNNNNNNNNNNNNNNNNNNNNNNNNNNNNNNNNGGGCAAGGCGUGGAGCGCGGCAGCGGCGGCGAUGGCGCGAGGGCAGGUGGCUGGAGCCGCGACAGCAGCCAGCGGGCGUGCGGGCUUGGCGCGGUGUGGCGAACCAACGAAGGGGCAGCAGCGGCGCGCGGGCAGGCGGGGAAAAGCGGUAGCAACAACAGCAGUCAUUGCGGGCUCGGUGGGGCGCAGCUGCUGCUACAGCGGCAGCAGCAGGCAGCGGGCGAAGCAUGUGGGGGGCCGGGGAGGGGCCGCGCGGCGGAGGCAGGGGUGGGAGGGCGAGCGGCAACGGUGGGGCGGGCAAGCUACGGUGAGGAAUAUGAGACGGCGCGGGCACACGCGGCGGCUGCGGUGUGUAGCGGCGCGGCAACAGAGCAAGAGCAGCAUGCAGACGAGGACGCAGGAGGGCGGCCACGCGCGGGCGGGAGCAUGGCGGUGCGUACCGGAGUUCAGGCGGCGUAGUACAGAAGCGGGAUGGGCAUGGGCCCCGGUGGGCGUGGCCAAACUACGACGAAAUCGAGGGGAAAGGCAGGGAAACAUGGAGAGGAGCUCACAGUGAGCAUGUAGGGCUCAGGGGAGACGGUGAGGCAGUGACAGCCGGGGAUCGACGGUGGAGCCCUCGGUGGCCGUAGGUGAAGAAGAUGACGCGGUCGAUGGCGGCGAUUUCGCGCCUCCAAGCUCGAACGGUUAUGCGUAGGUGACGUAGAGGAUGACGGUGAUCCAUCCCGGAUAUCAGCUAGCGGCGCGGGACGACGAAGAGCGGGGAACGGUGACGAUGGCAGCAGGUGCGUGUUGUGGAGAAGGGGGCGACCGAGAAAGAGGGGAUAAGGCAGCUAGGGUUCGUCCAAGAUCAAGGAGGGGGUCUUGUAGAUGCCAGGAAGAUCCGGAUGGCCGCCGCGUGGAGGAUCCGCGACGUGGACGCAACAAGUGAGGCCACCAAGCUCCCUGUGCACUGUAGGAAGGAGAAGAGGGAUAGGUGGGCUGGGCUGUGCACUGUGGACUUAGAGCCCAGAGGUACAUUGCCAGUUUUCUUUUGACGCAUUUCUUUAAACCUCUUCGUUUUGCAUUUCCUUUUAGUAAUAAAUGAGUUUUGUUUUGAACAAAACUUCGCACAUAAUUCUAACACAAUAUAAUGCGAUGGAACAAAAAAGUAUGGGGGCAAAAGAAGUUGUAUAACCAUUUUUAGAAAUUAAAAAGGCCAAUUUCAAAUGAUGUUGGACCACUAAAUAAUUUCUAGGGGCACUUGGGGAAAUCCAAAAGAGGUUGGUUCCAACAUUGACAAAUACCCAGGGAUUAUUUGCCACACUGUGAACAUUUUAGUUUUCAUGUUUGGCAAAUUUGAAAAUUUGAGUUUGAAUAUGAAUAGUGAUCUGGAUCAAGUGAGGAUUAGCAACAGUAAUGUGAUGACGUGGCACCAUUAGCAGGGAUUUACUGUAGCUUAAUUAUCCGGACGUCACAAUUCUCCUCCACUACAAGAAAUCUCGUCCCGAGAUUUAAGGAGUGAAAUAAGAGGGAAGCUAUAAGAAUGGAUGUCUGAAAGGAUCGGCAUCCGAUAGUUAUAUCAAGGAAGGAGAUUUUAGAAGCACCAAGAAAUGUAUCGAGAGUGCUAUAAGGAGGUUCAAGAAGUUUCAACCAGGUAGGCAUCCAGCGAAUGCCUAAAACAAGUGAUGAUGGGGUUCAGAGCAAUGAAGAAUAAUGUUGCCUCUGAUACCAGAAUGAAACAUGGGGAGGAAGUUGGCUCAUGAAUUACAUACGAAGCCAAGUGCAAAGAAUGUUUCGAAAUCAAGGUUGUACAUGAGAGUAAGGUUUCGAUCCUGUGGAACUGUGGGUUAUGGACCCACCAUGUGGGUUAAAAGCGAGAAGGGUGCUAACAUUUUGCACGAUCAUGAUAGCAAGGCAGGUCAGAGAAUAGCCUGUCAAUUAUGUUGGCAACAAAGUUCGGUACCAAGGGCGUGGGACGAAGAGAACCAUUUUCCUGCUUGUUAAUUCGAGGCAGACCAAUAGGCAAAGUUCUCGUCCAUUGGUGAUACCGAAAUGUCAGCAACAUUAGUAACAGGGUCUCACUGGCAAGGUUGUACAUGGGGGUGUUUUAUAAGCAGGGAUUUAUUUCUGCUUAUAUCGUAUAGAUCAGAAGAAAGGUUAAACAAAACAAUGGAAAGGAAAAUGUGGUUAUUAGUUUAACCAGCCCAAUGGAAAGGAAAAUGUGCUUAUACAAAAGUAUUAGAGUAUAUGCUUCCCAAGAACAAACAGGGAAUGAUAUACAUGACAGGACAUCAAGUACUUAUCCAUUUAAUUAAUGGGAUAAGGAGAAUCAUGAUGCUUACCCAUACAACGGUGUUUGGAUAAUUGAUCAAGAAACAUUUAGCUUUGUGCCUCCAAUGUUCUUAAUGAUGUUCGGAGUAACACAACCAUACUUUUGGAUAGCAUUGACAUGGUCAUCAGGUAAAGGCCGGACCUUGGGAACACAAAGGAUCCAUCGGGAAUUACUUGAACACCUCAAGCAAUUUUAUCAGGGAAGAUGAGGAGGUGGCCGAUGGUUUCAGCAAAAAUCCAUCAACAUGUCAAAAAGGAUGUAUUUACAACAUUAUCAGAACAGGUUUGUGUUGGGGGGGGGAGGCAGAAUGUUGUCGAUGAUAACACGAAUCAUCAAGAGGCAAGGAUGGUAUUUGUCAUCAUGAAUUUAAUUGAUAUCCUGGAAGAGCUCAGAAUGUUGAUGAUGAUCAUGACCAAUUUGUCAUGAGGUUUCAUGAGGAUGUAAUCGAUAGACGAUAAUAUCAAGUCAAAGGAAUUUUGAGGCGGAAGGUUAUCGGAACCACGAAUAUGACACAAUCUCGGAAUCAGGCUUGCUGUUCAAGAUAAAUUGAUAUGACGAGGAAGAUCGACGUAAGCUUAGCUCAUCAUCGAAAAUUGUGCUGAAGGAAGGACCAGGUAGCACAUUUAAAAUUUACCACAAUAAUGAUAUAGUUGAUCAGGCUAGGAAUGGCUUGAAGUAUUAUUAAACUUGUAAGCAACGAAAAUUUACUUCGAGUUAUUGAAUCGGAGAGCGGGAUCAAUUCACUUAUCAGUGUGAUCGGUUGACAAACAACCCAGAACCCAUGAAGUGACAAUGACAGGGAAAUGUAGUGUUCAUCAAAAGUCCAUAAGAUUUGGUGCAAUGUCAUGAUAUCCUUGAGAUACUAGGGGUAAUCCUCGAAGGUAGAUCAUAAUAGAGAUUGGACAUGUGUAUUGAUAUGCAGAAGGCAAGCACUUCAACUUGUCCGAGAAAUGGGAUCAAAGAAGAACAAUCUUGGUUGGGACCAUGAUUGCAAAGGCCAAAACCACAGAUACAUGAUCAAAUUAUACCAAGGGAACAAUUAUUGGCAUGAGAAGAUUCCAUGAUAAGAUCUACAUCGUUUCCAUGGGCAUGAACACAAAGUUCAAGGUCGACUCCCACUUCUUCAAUGCAUAACAUUUCAUGCACUUCCUGCUUUUGAAGAAGUUGUAGCGAUGAAAUUUUAUCUGACGAAAAGCCAGUAGGGUAAAACCCUCAUAAUUUUUGAGUUCACAUAGAUUUAGGGAAGGCAUAGGUUCAGCCCAUUGGGGCAUCUUAGGAACAUAUAACACAAGCUUCAGGAGUAAAUUAUACCAGCUCAAAAGCAGAGCAUCGUUAAUAAAAAGCAUAAGACAGAAUUUACCAAAGGCAUUGUGGGUCAAGGGAAGAACUCACAAGGUUAAUGAAUAUGAAGGACAUUGUCGGAUAAUAAUCCAAUCAAGGAUAUGGCGGUCCAUAAAGGAUCUAAUGUGAGUAUCGAUACUCAACCAAAAGAAGAAAGAAUGCAAAGGCAUCGGAUCAUAUAAAUAUCUGGAUAAUUUCAAAGCUUAAACGCAAAGGAAUUAUGAUUUCCAAUUCGGGGGUCAGAAGCAGAUGCUCUGAUCAAAAGGGUAGUAAGUUGCAUAGAAUUCGAUGGGCAAUCUAUCAAGGUUUGAUUUGCGGAGAACCAGCUCAUGUCCGGAAUGACGUCUGAGCUGGAAGAACAAUUUCCAGGGAACAACUGAUGAUUGCGUGCAUUCACACACAUGUUGAAUCGACAGGGUAAGGACGGCAAUCGCAAAGGAUUUUAAUGAAUAUUGCUAGACAUAUGGAAUUAACCAAAAUGCAAGCAGGUAAGGAAGAACAAGAGCAAUAGGCUACUAAGGAUUUUCAGAAGAUCGAAUAGUAUUUCAAAGAAUUUUGUGAAACACAAGAACAACUAGGGAUGAGCGAAUACUCGAUAAGUGCGAGGAAUUAUCUGUAGGGGUAUUCAUGUGGUAAAGAACUGCAAGGCGGUAAGCUCAAAGGAUUCUCGGGGCAACAAAGAGUAUUUCGGGGCAUCAUGUAAUAACAAGAGCAAUAGGGAAUGACUGUAUGAAUGGCAAGUGUACGUAGUUAUCCAUAAGGAUAUAUCGGUGCUAGGGAAUUACAAAAGCGACGAGCACAAAGUGUCAAGAGAACAUCGUAAGGUAUCUUCGGAAUAUUCUGGUGCAGCAGGCGAUCAUCUGUAAUAAGGGGCUCUCCGGGAGAAAGUAGUUACGAGAUCCUAAUGUUAGAGUUAGCAAAAUCGUUUAACCCGAAAGGAAGAGAGAUUAGAGUCCCAGAGUAUAGACGAGGAAUAAAAGAUCCUAAUACCACCCAAUGGCGACAUGGGCCCGUAAGACACACAACCAUGUUAGUAAAAGUUUUUCAUUGACUAGACUCAACUUCGGCCAAGGAGUUGGAAAGGGGUCUACCUACAGGCAGUCGGCUGUGAUACCAACUUGUGACGCCCUCGAUUCAAUCAUACACGCAAAUGUGUAUGAUCAAGAUCAAGGACUCACGGGAAGAUAUCACAACACAACUCUAGACACAAAUAAAAUAAUACAAGCUUUAUAUUACAAGCGAUGGGCCCAGAGGGCUCGAAUACAUAAGCUCGAAUACACAAGAGUCAGCAGAAGCAACAAUAUCUGAGUACAGACAUAUGUUAGACAAGUCUGCCUUAAGAAGGCUAACACAAAAGCAACAUCGAUCGAAAAGGCAAGGCCUCCUGCCUGGGAGGCUCCUAACAACUCCUGGUCGUCGGCAGCCUCCACGUAGUACUAGGCACCCUCAGUGUAGUAGCAGUCAUCGUCGAAGGUGGCGUAUGGAUCAUGGGCUCCACCAUCUGGUUGCAGCAUCCGGGAAGAAUGGAAAGAGGUGGAAAAAGGGGAGCAAAGCAACCGUGAGUACUCAUCCAAAGUACUCGCAAGCAAGGAUCUACACUACAUAUGCAACAUUAUCAAAGAGGGGUUGUAUAUGUGGACUGGGCUGGAGAAAUGCUAGAAUAGAGAGAAGACCUAGUCCUAUCGAAGACUAGCAUCGUCGGUUUCUUCAAGCAUCUUGCAGCAUUCAGAAGAGUAAAGAGUAGCAUAAAGUAAGGUAGUAGUAGUGUCAUCAACCUCGCCCAGAGAUCCUUUCUUGACUCCUUGCGAGAAAGCAAUCCCAGAGCCAUACUAUCCAGUUAUCACCUCAAGUAUCCGGUUCUAGUUGUAUCGAUCGGGAUACAACUCCAAGUGUCUGUUACCGUAGGACAGGCUAUCGAUAGAUGUUUUCUUCCCUGCAGGGGUGCACGAACUUACCCACCACGCUCGAUUAACUCCGGCCGGACACACUUUCCUGGGUCAUGCCCGGUCUUGGCCAAACAAUACGCCGCAACCCGACCUAGGCUAAAUAGAGAGGUCAGCAUGUCGAACUAAACCUAUGCCCCCAGGGGUCAUGGGCCAUCGCCCCAGGAACUCCUGCAUGUUGCGUGGGCGGCCGGUGGGCAGUCCUAGAUACCUCCUUAAAAAGGCAGGAGCUUACCAGUCCAACCCGGCGCACGCCGCUCAGUCGCUGACGUCUAAUAAGCUUCGGCUGAUGCAUACGACGCAGAACGCCCAUACAAUCCCACGUGAUGGUUAGUGCUAUCAGGCCAGAGCCCCCUCGGAUCAAUUAUCCAAAUCGUAGUGGAUUAGGAGCACGCGGUAACAAGCAGAGACUCACGAAAGAUGUGACCCCGUCGCCCCAUCUCGAGGACUUGCGGCAAGGGGUAAGAAUGCCCAGCCAUGCCUCGUAGUUAUCUCGCGGGCACCUUCCAGGUCAACCCAACCAUCACUCGCAAAUAAGCUCGCACGGGUACCCCUCGGGGCCGACCCGUCUUUAGUAACAUGGUUCAGUGUAAAGUCAUAGUAACCAUAGUAACCGUGUGUCUAACACCAAGGGGAACCCUGAGGAACCACCCUCGGUGGAUUCCACUUGAUGUAAUCAUCAAGGUGAACGUAGGAGGAACCACCCUCGAGGUUCACACUUGAGGGGUUGCACGACAGAGUUGUACCGGAAGUGGUUAAGGAGGGAAUUACCCUCGAUGACCUUAACCGAAUAGCUACACUACAGAGAUCUCAUCAGGAGUGAAGUAUGAGGUUCCACCCUCGGCACUCGAUGGUAACUCUCCAGAGUCGAGCAGCAAAAGGGGCGUGAUGUGAUGUGAGGUGUUAGGCUCUGGUCGUCGAUCACGUUGAUCGGGUCUUCGAUGAUGAAGCAUGGGCAAAAGGACAAGGUGGGGGGUCACUGAUGGAUCACUAACCAUCCUAUACUAAGCAGUUUAGGAUAAGCAGGUAAGGUAAUAAUAAGCAGGUUACAAAAGCAGGCUAUGCAUCACAAUAGGAGAAAACAAUAAUAGUAGCAAAAUCUAAUGCAAGCAUGAGAGAAUGGAAUGGGCGAUAUCGAGAUGAUCAAAGGGGAGCUUGCCUGCAAGCUCUGCUGCAAAGGAAGAAGAGUCAUCGGUGAUGUAGUCGAUCACGGGGGCAUCGUCAGUCUCGGGGUCUACCGGAGAGAAGAGGGGGAAGAAACAGUAAAUAUAGAGCAAACAAAGGUACCACUAAGCAUGACAAGACGAUAAGCAGAACUAGGGUCAACCUAACGUAGUACUACACAUUGUAGACGAAGGGAAUAAAUAUCCGAGGAUGAAUUCCCGGUGUUAGGCGGAUUCCGGAUGGAGGAAAAGAGGGGGAAAGUUCCACGUUCAGCAUGCUAUGGGCAUAUGACAGAUGAACGAAUUGCGUAAUCAGUUUCGUUGGAUUUUUUUGAGCAACUUUCAUGUAGAAAGCAUUUUCAUCCGAGCUACGGAUUAUUUUCUGUGAUUUAUGAGAGAUUUAAACUAUUUCUGAAUUUAUUAUUAAAUCUAAAAUGGAGUUAUUGCACCAGCAGGACGUCAUCAUUAUGUCAGCGGUCAACACAGAGCGUUGAGUGGUCAAACAGGGCAGUGGGGCCCAUUUGUCAUUGACCUAACUAAUUAACGGAUUUAAAUUAACUAAACUAGUUCAUUAGGCUAAAUAAGCAAGGUUAAUUAAGAUAAUUAAUUGCCUGAUUAGUUAGUUAAUUAAUUAAUUGCUUUUAUAUUUAUUUAUUUUUGAAAAUCUUUUUUUUAACCGGGGGUCGGGCCCAGCUGUGAGUGGCCCAUAGCCUUUAGCGGGUGCAGGCGUUAUCGGGUGCGGGCGCCCGCGCACCCGCAUGGAGACGACGGAGGGCGGAGGCGGGGCCGUGGCCACGACACGACCAGCGGAGGGCGCCGGCCGCGGCGAGGAUGCCGGCCAGCAAGCGGAGGGGGAAGAGCAGGUCGCGGUCGAAGCACAGCAGCGAGCAAGCGCGGCAGGGCGGCGACCGCGCCGGCGUACGGAGGCGGGUGCGCGGCCAAGCGGUGGUCGCCGAUGCAGCAGCGGCGCGCAACAGCGACGUGAGUGGAGCGCGGCGGCGGUGACAGCACGGCGCGGAUGCGCCAGGCAACGAGCAGCAGCUCGCAAGCGGGAGGGGCGCGGGGGCAAGGCGUGGAGCACUGCAGCGACGACAUGGUGCGAGGGCAGGCGGCUGGAGCCGCGACAGCGGCCAGCGAGUGCGCGGGCUUGGCGCGGUGUGGCGAACCGGGGAAGGGGCAGCAGCAACGGCAGCAGUCGAUGCGGUCUCGGCGGGGCGCAGCUGCUCCUGCAGCGGCAACAGCAGGCAGUGGGCGAAGCAGGUGGGGGGUUGGGGAGGGGCCGCGCGACGGAGGCAGAGGUAGGAGGGCGAGCGGCAGCGGCGGGGCCGACGAGCUACGACAAGGAGUAUGAGACAGCGCAGGCACACGCGACGGCUGCGGUGUGUAGCGGCACAACAAUACAGCAAGAGCAGCAGGCAGACGAGGGCGCAGGAGGGCGGCCACGCGCGGGCGGGAGCGUGGCUGUGCGCGCUGGAGUUCAUGUGGCGUAGUACAGAAGCGGGAUGGGCACGGGCCCUGGUAGGCGUGGCCAAACUACGAAGAAAUCAAGGGGAAGGCGGGGAAACGUGGAGAGGAGCUCACAGUGAGCCUGUAGACGCACUUAGAGGGCUCGGGGGAGACGGCGAGGCAGCGACAGUCAGGGAUCGACGAUGGAGGCCUCGGUGGCCGUAGGUGAAGAAGAUGACGCGGUCGAUGGCGGUGAUUUCGCGCCUCCAAGCUCGAACGGUUACGCGUAGGCGACGUAGAGGACGACGGUGAUCCAUCCCGGACAUCAGCUGGCGGCACGGGAUGACGAAGAGCGCGGGAACGGUGACGGCGGCGGCGGGUGCGUGCUGUGGAGAAGGGGGCGACCGAGAGAGAGGGGAUAAGGCAGCUAGGGUUCGUCCAGGAUUAAGGGGGGGUGGUCUUGUAGAUGCCAGGGAGUUCCAGAUGGCCGCCACGUGGAGGAUCCGCGACAUGUACGUGGCAAGUGAGGCCACCGAGCUCCGUGUGAGCAGUAGGAAGGAGAAGAGGGAUAGGUGGGCUGGGUUGUGCACUGUGGACUUAGAGCCCAGAGGUACAUUGCCAGUUUUCUUUCGAUGCAUUUCUUUAAACCUCUUCGUUUUGCAUUUCCUUUUAGUAAUAAAUGAGUUUUGUUUUGAACAAAACUUGGCCCAUAAUUCUAAAACAAUAUAAUGCGAUGGAACAAAAAUAUGGGGGCAAAAGGAGUUGUAUAGCCAUUUUUAGAAAUUGAAAAGGCCAAAUUCAAAUGAUGCUGGACCAUUAAAAAAUUUCCAGGGGCACUUGUGGAAAUCCAAAAGAGGUUGGUUCCAACAGGAAAAAUACCCAGGGAUUAUUUGCCACACUGUGAACAUUUUAGUUUUCAUGUUUGGCAAAUUUGAAAUUUUGAGUUUGAAUAUGAAUAGUGAUUUGGAUCAAGCGAGGAUUAGCAACAGUAAUGUGAUGAUGUGGCACCAUUAGCAGGGAUUUACUGUAGCUUAAUUAUCCGGACGUCACAAUUCUACUACACUACAAGAAAUCUUGUCCCGAGAUUUAAGGAGUGAAAUAAGAGGGAAGCUAUAAGAACGGAUGUCUGAAAGGAUCGACAUCCGAUCGUUAUCUCAAAGAAGGAGAUUUUAGAAGCACCAAGAAAUGUAUCGAGAGUGCUAUGAGGAGGUUCAACAAGUUUCAACCAGGUAGGCAUCCAGCGGAUGCCUAAAACAAGUGAUGAUGGGGUUCAGAGCAAUGAAGAAUAAUGUUGCCUCUGAUACCAGAAUGAAACAUGGGGAGGAAGUUGGCUCGUGAAUUACAUACGAAGCCAUGUGCAAAGAAUGUUUCGAAAUCAAGGUUGUACAUGAGAGUAAGGUUUCGAUCCUGUGGAACUGUGGGUUAUGGGCCCACCACAUGGGUUAAAAGCGGGAAGGGUGCUAACAUUUUGCAUGAUCAUGAUAGCAAGGCAGGUUAGAGAAUAGCCUGUCAAUUAUGUUGGCAACAAAGUUCGGUACCCAAGGCGUGGGACGAAGAGAACCAUUUUCCUCCUCGUUAAUUCGAGGCAGACCAAUAGGCAAAGUUCUCGUCCAUCGGUGAUACCGAAAUGUCAGCAACAUUAGUAACAGGGUCUCAUUGACAAGGUUGUACAUGGGGGUGUUUUAUAAGCGGGGAUUUAUUUCUGCUUAUAUCAUAUAGAUCGGAAGAAAGGUUAAACAAAACAAUGGAAAGGAAAAUGUGGUUAUUAGCUUAACCAGCCCAAUGGAAAGGAAAAGGUGCUUAUACAAAAGUAUUAGAGUAUAUGCUUCCCAAGAACAAACAGAGCAUGAUAUACAUGACAGGACAUCAAGUACUUAUCCAUUUAAUUAAUGGGGUAAGGAGAAUCAUGAUGUUUACCCAUACAUCGGUGUUUGGAUAAUUGAUCAAGAAACAUUUAGCAUUGCGCCUCCAAUGUUCUUAAUGAUGUUCGGAGUAACACAACCAUACUUUUGGAUAGCAUUGACAUGGUCAUCAGGUAAAGGCCGGACCUUGGGAACACAAAGGAUCCAUCGGGAAUUACUUGAACACCUCAAGCAAUUUUAUCAGGGAAGAUGAGGAGGUGGCCGAUAGUUUCAGCAAAAAUCCAUCGACAUGUCAAAAAGGAUGUAUUUACAACAUUAUCAGAAAAAGUUUGUGUUGGGGGGGGCAAGAAUGUUGUUGAUGAUAACACAAAUCAUCAAGAGGCAAGGAUGGUAUUUCUCAUCAUGAAUUUAAUUGAUAUCGUGGAAGAGCUCAGAAUGUUGAUGACGAUCAUGACAAAUUUGUCAAGAGGUUUCAUGAGGAUGUAAUCGAUCGACGAUGAUAUCAAGUCAAAGGAAUUUUGAGGCGGAAGGUUAUCGGAACCACGAAUAUGACACAAUCUCGGAAUCAGGCUUGCUGUUCAAGGUGAAAUAAUAUGACGAGGAAGAUUGACGUAAGCUUAGCUCCUCGUCGAAAAUUGUGCUCCAGUAAGGACCAGGUAGCACAGUUAAAAUUUACCACGGUAAUGAUAUAGCCGAUGAGGCUAGGAAUGGCUCGAAGUAUUAUUAAACUCGUAAGCAACGAAAAUUUACUUAGAGUUAUUGAAUUGGAGUGCAGGAUCGAUUCACUUAUCAGUGUGAUCGGUUGACAAACAACCCAGAACCCAUGAAGUGACAAUGACAGGGAAAGGUAGUGUUCAUCAAAAGUCCAUCAGAUUUGGUGCAAUGGCAUGAUAUCCUCGAGAUACUAGGGGUAAUACUUGAAGGUAGAUCAUAAUAGAGAUUGUACAUGUGUAUUGAUAUGCAGAUGGCAAGCACUUCAACUUGUCUGAGAAAUGGGAUCAAAGAAGAACAAUCUUGGUUGGGACCACGAUUGCAAAGGCCAAAACCACAGAUACAUGAUCAAAUUAUACCAAGGGAACAAUUAUUGUCACGAGAAGAUUCCAUGAUAAGAUCUACAUCAUUUCCAUGGGCAUGAACACAAAGUUCAAGGUCGACUCCCACUUCUCCAAUGCAUAACAUUUCAUGCACUUCCCGCUUUUGAAGAAGUUGUAGGGAUGAAAUUUUAUCUGACGAAAAGCUAGCAAGAUAAAACCCUCAUAACUUUCGAGUUCACACAGAUUUAGGGAAGGCAUAGGUUCAGCCCAUCGGGGCAUCUUAGGAACAUAUAACACAAGCUUCAGGAGUAAAUUAUACCAGCUUGAAAGCAGAGCAUCAUUGAUAAAAAGCAUAAGACAGAAUUUACAAAAGGCAUUAUGGGUCAAGGGAAGAACUCACAAGGUUAAUGAAUAUGAAGGACAUUGUCGGAUAAUAAUCCAACCAAGGAUAUGGCGAUGCAUAAAGGAUCUAAUGUGAGUAUCGAUACUAACCGAGCAGAAGAAAGAAUGCAAAGGCAUCGGAUCGUAGAAAUAUCUAGAUAAUUUCAAAACUUAAACACAAAGGAAUUAUGAUUUCCAAUUCGGGGGUCAGAAGCAGAUGCUCUGAUCAAAAGGGUAGUAAGUUGCAUAGAAUUCGAUGGGCAAUCUAUCAAGGUUUGAUUUGCGGAGAACCAGCUCAUGUCCGGAAUGACGUCUGAGCUGGAAGAACAAUUUCCAGGGAACAACUGAUGAUUGCGUGCAUUCACACACAUGUUGAAUCGACAGGGUAAGGACGGCAAUCGCAAAGGAUUUUAAUGAAUAUUGCUAGACAUAUGGAAUUAACCAAAAUGCAAGCAGGUAAGGAAGAACAAGAGCAAUAGGCUACUAAGGAUUUUCAGAAGAUCGAAUAGUAUUUCAAAGAAUUUUGUGAAACACAAGAACAACUAGGGAUGAGCGAAUACUCGAUAAGUGCGAGGAAUUAUCUGUAGGGGUAUUCAUGUGGUAAAGAACUGCAAGGCCGUAAGCUUAAAGGAUUCCCGGGGCGACAGAGAGUAUUUCGGGGCAUCUUAUGAUAACAAGAGCAAUAGGGAAUGACUGUAUGAAUGACAAGUGUACGUAGUUAUCCAUAAGGGUAUAUCGGUGCUAGGGAAUUGCAAAAGCGACAGGCACAAAGUGUCAAGAGAACAUCGUAGAGUAUCUUCGGAAUCUUCUGGUGCAGCAGGCGAUCAUCUGUAAUAAGGGGCUCUCCGGGAGAAAGUAGUUACGAGAUCCUAAUGUUAGAGUUAGCAAAAUCGUUUAACCCGAAAGGAAGAGAGAUCCGAGUCCCAGAGUAUAGACGAGGAAUAAAAGAUCCUAAUACCACCCAAUGGCGACACGGGCCCGUAAGACACACAACCAUGUUAGUAAAAAAAUUCAUUGACUAGACUCAACUUCGGCCAAGGAGUUGGAAAGGGGGCUACCUACAAGCAGUCGGCUCUGAUACCAACUUGUGACGCCCUCGAUUCAAUCGUACACUAAUCAUACAUGCAAAUGUGUACGAUCAAGAUCAAGGACUCACGGGAAGAUAUCACAACACAACUCUAGACACAAAUAAAAUAAUACAAGCUUUAUAUUACAAGCGAUGGGCCUCGAGGGCUCGAAUACAUAAGCUCAAAUACACAAGAGUCAACGAAAGCAACAAUAUCUGAGUAUAGACAUAGGUUAGACAAGUCUGCCUUAAGAAGGCUAGCACAAAAGCAACAUCGAUCGAACAGGCAAGGCCUCCUGCCUGGGAGACUCCUAACUACUCCUGGUCGUCAGCGGCCUCCACGUAGUAGUAGGCACCCUUAGUGUAGUAGCAGUCAUCGUCGAAGGUGGCGUCUGGAUCAUGGGCACCCCCAUCUGGUUGCAGCAUUCGGGAAGUAUGGAAAGAGGUGGAAAAAGGGGAGCAAAGCAACCGUGAGUACUCAUCCAAAGUACUCACAAGCAAGGAUCUACACUACAUAUGCAACAUUAUCAAAGAGGGGUUGUAUAUGUGGACUGGGCUGGAGAAAUGCUAGAAUAGAGAGAAGACCUAGUCCUAUCGAAGACUAGCAUCGUCAGUUUCUUCAAGCAUCUUGCAGCAUUCAGAAGAGUAAAGAGUAGCAUAAAGUAAGGUAGUAGUAGUGUCAUCAACCUCGCC
This 16736-nucleotide long non-coding RNA is filed under the name Triticum aestivum (bread wheat). RNAcentral's name for it is "long non-coding RNA (TAES_LNC010223)". Lineage: Eukaryota; Viridiplantae; Streptophyta; Magnoliopsida; Poales; Poaceae. The record is from RNAcentral.